RNAcentral lists this ribosomal RNA (335 nucleotides) under uncultured Glomus. Its description in RNAcentral is "SSU rRNA". It matches the Rfam family "Eukaryotic small subunit ribosomal RNA", at positions 569 to 913 of the family's 1831-position model. Lineage: Eukaryota; Fungi; Glomeromycota; Glomeromycetes; Glomerales; Glomeraceae. The record is from RNAcentral.
AGCAGCCGCGGUAAUUCCAGCUCCAAUAGCGUAUAUUAAAGUUGUUGCAGUUGAAAAGCUCGUAGUUGAAUUUCGGGAUCAAUAUGUUGGUCGUGCCUUGGUACGUACUAGCUCAUUGGUUUCUCCCUUCUGACGAACCAUGAUGUCAUUAAUUUGAUGUCAUGGGGAAUCAGGACUGUUACUUUGAAAAAUUAGAGUGUUUAAAGCAGGCUCGCGCUUGAAUACAUUAGCAUGGAAUAAUGAAAUAGGACGUUUGAUUCUAUUUUGUUGGUUUCUAGGAUCGACGUAAUGAUUAAUAGGGAUAGUUGGGGCAUAGUAUUCAAUUGUCAGAGGUG